AGUGAACGCUGGCGGUAGGCCUAACACAUGCAAGUCGAACGGCAGCACAGUAAGAGCUUGCUCUUACGGGUGGCGAGUGGCGGACGGGUGAGGAAUACAUCGGAAUCUACUUUUUCGUGGGGGAUAACGUAGGGAAACUUACGCUAAUACCGCAUACGACCUACGGGUGAAAGCAGGGGAUCUUCGGGCCUUGCGCGAUUGAAUGAGCCGAUGUCGGAUUAGCUAGUUGGCGGGGUAAAGGCCCACCAAGGCGACGAUCCGUAGCUGGUCUGAGAGGAUGAUCAGCCACACUGGAACUGAGACACGGUCCAGACUCCUACGGGAGGCAGCAGUGGGGAAUAUUGGGCAAUGGGCGCAAGCCUGAUCCAGCCAUGCCGCGUGGGUGAAGAAGGCCUUCGGGUUGUAAAGCCCUUUUGUUGGGAAAGAAAAGCAGCAGGUUAAUACCCCGCUGUUCUGACGGUACCCAAAGAAUAAGCACCGGCUAACUUCGUG
Molecule: ribosomal RNA, 492 nt
Filed under: uncultured bacterium
Lineage: Bacteria
Description: partial 16S ribosomal RNA
Rfam family: Bacterial small subunit ribosomal RNA
Source: RNAcentral